RNAcentral lists this ribosomal RNA (587 nucleotides) under uncultured bacterium. RNAcentral's name for it is "bacterial SSU rRNA". It matches the Rfam family "Bacterial small subunit ribosomal RNA", at positions 102 to 694 of the family's 1533-position model. The record is from RNAcentral.
AAGGGUGAGUAAGGCGACGGUAACCAACCCCGGGAUUGGGUAUAGCCGCGGGAAACCGCGGGUAAUCCCCAGCGACGCGACGACGCCGGCAUCGGCGUCUCGCCAAAGCCCCGGCGUCCCGGGACGGGCUGUCGUGGUAUUAGCUUGUUGGCGGGGUAACGGCCCACCAAGGCUCUGAUGCCUACCGGGCGUGCGAGCGUGGCCCGGCACACUGGGACUGAGACACUGCCCAGACUCCUACGGGAGGCUGCAGUCGAGAAUCUUCGGCAAUGGGCGCAAGCCUGACCGAGCGACGCCGCGUGGAGGAUGAAGGCCUUCGGGUUGUAAACUCCUGUCGAGGGGGAAAAAGGGCCGCGAGGCCUUGAUUGAUCCCUGGAGGAAGCACGGGCUAAGUUCGUGCCAGCAGCCGCGGUAAGACGAACCGUGCGAACGUUAUUCGGAAUCAUUGGGCUUAAAGCGCGUGUAGGCGGAUUCGUGCGUCUGUCGCUGAAAUCCCCCGGCUCAACCGGGGAACGGGCGCGGAUACGACGAGUCUGGAGGGGCAUAGGGGGACCUGGAACUUCCGGUGGAGCGGUGAAAUGCGUUGA